This 8000-nucleotide long non-coding RNA is filed under the name Equus asinus (donkey). RNAcentral describes it as "lncRNA (ENSEASG00005023962.1)". Lineage: Eukaryota; Metazoa; Chordata; Mammalia; Perissodactyla; Equidae. The record is from RNAcentral.
GCCAGGGUAGGGCCUCGAGCUGGGGGGCAGUGAGGAUGGGAAACGCUCCCAGCCCCAGUCAGCGGCUCCCGGGGGGGUGGGGGUUCAGUGAAUGAGUCAAGCGGCUUUUGUUCCUCUUGUUUUCGCUCAUUCCGUGAAGGAUUUCUCUUGACUCAUGAUUUCCCAACCAGCUCCUUCUGCAGCUUAAGAAAGCAAGAGUGAAUAAUUGCUCUGGUUUUUUGCUGCUUGGGUUUUUUCCUUCAUUACAGGAAUGUGUAAACACCCUGGGUUUUCAGAGACCGGCUGCCAAACCCCGCGUCGGAGGCUCCUCCUGCUUUCGGGCAAUGGCUGGCAUCCUCGCUGGGGGAACUGGGCUGACCCUGCUGGCGAGGGCUGACCCUCACCAAGUCGUCAAGGACCCUGGCCUGGGAGAGGUGGUGGAGGCCAUGCCAGAACUUCUUACCCGUCUGUUAUGGGCUGAAUCGUGUUCCCCUCAAAAUGCAUAUGUUGAAGGCCUAAUCUCCAGGACCUCAGAACGCGGCUGUUGCUGGAGAUAAGGUCUUUGAAGACGUGAUUAAGUUAGAAUGAGGUCAUCAGGGUGGGUCCUGAUCCACUAGGCCUGGUGUCUUUACAAGAAGAGGAGAUCAGGACACAGACACGCACAGAGGGACGACCACGUGAGGACACAGGGAGAGGACGGCCAUCUGCCGGCCAAGGAGGGAGGCCCCCGGAGAAACCAACGUGCUGACACCUUGGUCUUGUACUUCCAGCCUCCAAGACCCUGCGGUUUAAGGCCCUGGCUUGUGGCGCUUUGUUACAGCCACCUGAGCUGACUUAUACAGCAUCCUUGCCCUCUCUGUGCCCAGGAGAGGAGCCUUCCCUGCCCCCUUACCACACCCAUGACUGGGCAGUAAAUCCCCACGGCUGGGCGAGGCUGACAGCCCCAGUCUCCUUGUGCUCCAGCUCUGGGGAGAUGCUGGGGGGCAGGUAUCUCUACUGCUCAGCAGCCCUAGGUGGGAGGCAUGAGGGAGCAGAGAGGCCUAGGUGGGCAAGCGAGCCCAGCAGAAUCCCACACGGAGAAUGCGGGUGAGAAGGAGCCUGUGCCAUCUGCCUCGUGUUCUGGGGGGACUCACACUCCCUGGCUUUCCCGGUUGUCCCCUUGCACUCAGAAGUGGCAUGGUGCAGGGCCGGGAACGAACAGCUGGACGCACACAGAUCGGCUUCUCAUGAAGUCUCCAUUUCACGUGUGGCCUUCUGCCGCGGCCCCUGCUCCUCUCAGCUGCCUUGUGAGGGAAGUCACCCCCGGACAGAGCCAGAAGUUCUGGGAAGAGAACUGAAGGACCUUCGUCACUGCCACCCACCGCCUUCUCCACCAAGACGCCCCUGACCGCUAUCACAGGCCACAACAGAGAAUGCACAACGGAACACACCCGUCCUCUCCGUCUAUCCCUCCUCGCGGAAAGUCAGAGUGAGGAUGCCAAAGGGGCUUAGGUUCCAUGCCAGGUCUGAGCUUCGGUGGCGGUCCUGUGCCAGAGGCCUGACAGCCUCCAGACCAGCCAGAGGGAGCUGACGGCUGCGGAUGACAGCUGGAUGAUGUCCCGUAUCCAAAACGUCCAUGAGCCGUGUCCUUCAGGAGGGGUUCGCCGUGGGCUCCUCAAGGCUGGGGAGUCUGCAGGGACCCUCUGUGCUGCCCCAGGUUCAUGUGCCCGGCUGUCCUGCUCCAGCGAUGCUUCUCUGCGCUUUUGGUCCGUGUGUCUACAUCCCCAUGGAUCCCAAGUCCACGCCAUAUUCAUCACUAUCCUCCCCGUCAGUCCUGGCACGCAGUGGGCAUGUAAGGGAUGCUGAGGCCGAGUGGUCAGCAUGUCCCCAUCGGCUGACGUGCGUAGGAAAACCCAGCACCCCCACCCUGCAUCGGCCAGCUGCCAGCUGCCCCCACCCCUUGUCUCUCCGUCCCUCCCUCUCCCUCAUCAUCACACAAUUAUUACAGGAACAACUUGACUCUGUCCUAGCAUUCCUUGAGAGAGGCACUUCUAAAGGUCAGGAGCAGCAAUGACUGGGAGUGGAUUUCCCGCGACGCCUCCCCCAGCUGAUUAGGACAGGCGGGGCAGACCGGGUGCUGAAAAUCACCCUCAAACCGUCACGGGCAGCCGACAUCACCAGGAUCUGGGUGGGCAGUGCACAGGCUUUCGGCUGUGCUCUACACAGGGAGCAGAUGGCUCAGAGGGGCGGGCAGAGACGGUGCUCGAGAACAGGGCCUCCACCCGGCCGGUCCGGCUGCCCCGCCUACUCGGUACCAGGGCUCCUGCUACCAGUGGGCCACCAGAAGCCUGAAAUGACGUAAGGGUGGGAGGGCUCUGAGCCUGCCAGGGGCCAUUGAGAUCACGCAGAAGCUCCCAAGCAUCACGUCAGCACAUUCCGGGCCUGACCGAAAGGCAAAGCAGUAGAUGAAAGGAUCCUGUAGCCCCCUGGACACCUUUUUCACAAGUUGACAUCAAAAAUGUAAAGCAUCUUCAUCAUCUGUUUUUUAACCACGUAAGAGGAUAAAAUGAAAUCAACCUAACCACUUUUCAAUUUUUCCCUGGCCUCCUCAACCAACUCACAGUUCUGGGUUGUAAAAUAAAGAGAAAUCAAGAGGACUUGUAGAAAAAGUCCUGAGUGCCUGGGGAACUGCAUGGCAGUCUUGAUCAUGACCCCAUUCCCCACUGCUGCACCAGGGCAGACAUGUCUAAUCCACCACAGAGCACGUACACAGCACUCUAGGCAGCUAUUACCAAUCAAUCCCAGCCAACCUGCAAGAUGAAACCUGUCACUCAUCCAUCACAUGACCUCGAAUCAAUGAAGGUCAGAAAGGGGAGAUGAUUCACCAAACGAGGCUGGACCUGUCUCCUGCCGAGGAGCAGAGGGCAACGGCCGAGGAAGAGAGCGGCGCCCAGGUCUGUGGAAGACUAACCAAUAGGAACUUGCAGCCACUAGUUCCUUACUCAGUGAUUCGGCUAAAAAGCAGAGUAUUCUGCUUUUCUCAAAAAAGGACAAUGGGCUUCUGGAGGCUCUGGUGGGUUAGAAACAGUGAAGGCUGCCCCGGGGCCCCUGGCUCUGCUCCUAAAUUCCUAGAGAGGAUUGGGAUCUAAAUGGUCUUAAGUGGACCCAGAGGAAAAUAUCAGCUUCACUCUGUUGCCCUUCAGUCCUGAUGUUUCUCUGACAGGUGCAUCACAAAGAGUUUAAAUUCAGUGGAGGUUUGUAACCCCAGCCUCCAGCCCCAAGAGAACGGAAGGGAGACACUGAGUCGAGGGAGGCUUCGCAGCUACCAGAGACGGGCGAGGAUCCCCCAGCAUCCAUUUAGGGUCUGUCCUCCCCUUUGGACUCCCUCUCCCUCCCUCCCCCCAUGGAUAUCACUUGUGUGGCUCUCCAUCCCCACACGAGGACACGGGGUCCAUUCCUCUCUCUGUCCUCACGUCAGAAUCUGCCCUGUCUAUAAUUCCCCACCGUCAGGUCCAACAGAUCUGACGGAGCAGCCGCCAUGUCGCUCACUCCCCGCAGGUGCUGCUGGGCAAGGGACACGAAUGUGCAGAGAUCCCGCCCCCAGGAGCUCUGGGUCUGGUGUGGGCCACAGAGAAGCAAAAAGGUGAAAAUUAGAGGGACGGAUUUAUUCAUAGUUGCCAAAACCUGGAAGCAACUGAGGUGCCCUUCAGUAGAUGCCGAGUUUAUUGGGGAUGUUGACCUUCAGGAUGCUCACUCGGGUGGCAGAAAUCAAGGACAGGGAUGAAGCAUCCCUCGGAGGUCCCUCUCCCUCUGUUGAAAAAACCCCCUGAAAUAGUUGAAGGAUAGAUAGUGUUGGAGGCCCACAGGGCGGUUUCAAACCAUGCUCUGCAGUCGGGCCUGCGGUAAAGAGGUCCGACCCUCGGAAGAACCAGGAGAUGUGAGGACUCCAACUCAGGGCCAGGAUUGGGGAAGGCUUCCGGGAGCAAGGCUGAGCAGCCAGUGUCUGUGGGGCUCCCCGUCCCAGGCUCCAGUGUGUGCUGUCGGGGUGGGGGUGACAACCCCCAGCAAGGAACUGGGGAAACCAGGCCUGCUCUGAAGCCGGUCUUGACGGGAGAUGAGCCCAAAGAAAUGAGCUACUAAAAGGAAAGAAAUGGGGGCUCACACCCCAAAUUCCAUCCAGAGGGAGGGUGUGUAGAGACAGUGAGGAACUGCGGAGGGCUCCCCGGAUUCCAACACCAUGAGGUGGGGCCAGCCACAUCGUCUGUGCUGCAGGAUGAACACGUGGGGCCCCUGGCCAACAAGCACCAAAAAUUGCAAGAUGGUGCAACAGAGCAUGGCUACAGCGCGGGCCUCCUGCGUGGGCCCAUGUGACUGCACCGCAGCUCCCAGUGUCCAGAGGCCUGAGCCCUUCAGGACCUGAGCCUUGGCUGGUGCUGCCUUCCUUUCCCAGAGUCCUGGGCUCGUGGCAGGUAUUUUCUCAGGCGGACAGAGUUGCAGAGUGAGGAGCGGGGAAGGGCAGAGGCGAGGCCGUGGUGCAGGCUCCACAGCAUCGGCUGUAAAUCCCUCACAUCCUCCCUGGGCCCAGGAAAGCAUCCUGACUUCGGACCGGGUUCCUGUUUUCAUACCUUCCUGUGAGUCAGGCUGGGAUGAGUCUGCGCCCCGUCCAGACCGUCCCGGCCCUUAUCUGAUGGGAACGAGGCUCUGUGCACAGCCCUGCAGGGUUUGGGAGGCCUCAGGACUCAGAGAAAUAAACAGCAGCGAUGAUGUGGCUCCACGGUCCGGUCAGGGGAGGGCCGCGCUCCCUCAGAAGACACAGCCGCCGUGAACCCACAACGGCCAUCUGUGCAGGGGUGCGCUGUCCAACCUCCCAAAUGGACGUGCCCUUUAGAGGCUGUUAAACCCAGCAGAGGACGCCCAGCCCCUGCAGGCUGACCAAGGCGGUCGUGGUCCCCGGUGGAUGACCCCGGGCUGCGCCCUGCGGCCCAGGGGGCCCCCCGCCGGAGUCACGCUGCUCCUCAGCUCUUGUGGAGGCUGGAUUUGUGGGAUGUUAACCCCAGCCCGUGUUUAAUAUUUAAAAUUGAUGGUUCUUAAAUCCUUUGGCUCACUUGAGAGGGAGGCGGAGACCAUCAGCAUCCGAAAGCUAACCCUCCCCAGGGCCUUUAUCAAACUCCCAGUGGUCUCAGAAGGUCAGAGCUUCCCACAGUCACUGACCACGUGGGUGGGCAUCCCAGAGACCCACAGCCUCUUGGUGCCACGGCCAUCAUCCUCUGGGUUCAGAAGUGCACGGCCCCCCAGAGGAACCAGCCCCCACCAGAGCCAGUGAGCUCACCCGGAUAGGAAAAAGAUAAUUUCAUAUUUCAAAAAAGCACUUAAACAGCAAAAGUCCCUGCAGAAACCACAUGUGGAAAACCCACUUACAGACAGGCCAAAUCUCCAAACCGAGGCUCAGCGUCGCAACGGGUGCGCAGUGCCCAGCAGCCAGAGAACGGGGUAUGAGGGCAGAGGGCGCGCACCACAGUGUGAACCCUCGCCAGGCAACGCGCACACCAGGUGCCAUCGCCCCUCCCCGUGGGAACACUCCGCAACACCGAGGAGCCAAUGGUUCCCCUGAGAGCUGUGCUGUCUCCUGAGCAUCUCAGCCCAUCCAGGCCAGAGCCACCCGCAGGCCCGCCUUCCCCCGGGGAGCAGGUGGCCAAGUGAAGCUGAUGCUCUGGGCUCCGAGUUCCCCCCUCAGAAAGGUGGAGCUUUUUAAAUCAAACUGAACUUUCUCAAGUCACCUGUCACUGGGGAGGCUGCCAUGCAUUCAGAUGCCUGUGUGCACACCUGCCCUCCCUCGGAAACCUCCAGAACAAGGCAUUCAGUGUCUCCCAGCACAGUGCGGGCCCCUCCAAGGUGGCCGUGACUGAGUUUGUGAAAGGAAUUCUGAGUAGAUCCCACGACCCAGAUGAAGGAGAGAUCAGGGGCUCCAGGCUCCCGAAGGACUUGGACCCAUCGCCUCAUACUCUAGACACAGACUGGGCGGAGAAGGGAGUUAACAGACCGCUGACCUUGGCAGAGGCGCCUGGGGAGAAGGUGAGGGGUUUUCUCCCAACACUCGUCAUGAAAAUAGAAGCAGAAAUCUGGCUACAAGUGUGAAGCAUCGGAAGGACCCCUGCGUCUGCUGCGGCGGGCAGAGCAAGAUGGUCACCGAGGCUGCAGCCCGGGCUCUGCUGCCCCCUGGGUCCUGUGGUGGUGUUCAUGGGUGGAUGGUUCUAGGGGUGCCGACCCGGUGCCCCCAGGCUGGAAGCCUCCUCCUCGGACGGCUGGAAGGGGCGGGAUGUGGGCAGCUGAGGAAGCUGGGCAGCAGGACAGGAGGAAGGAUGGAGGAAGGAAGGAAGGAAGUCGCUCAGCUGGGAGGAGGCUGCAAGGUCUGCUCCGCUGCUGGACCACAGCCUUGUCCAGCCCCUGCUCCUGGCUGUUACCGACGUAGAAGGGCUUAGGCAGUAGGAUGUGACGUGCUCAGAGCCCGGAGAAGUGGCUCUGCAUGUCAAACCGUCGAGGACUCCCAAGGGAGACCACGUGGACCUCGCUCAUGAACACACCAGGUGGGCAACUCUGCCACCCGUGCCUGAGCCAGCCGCCCGGGAGCGCACUCUCACGAGCCGACACAAGCCCCUGGGGUGCUUUCUCUGCAAACAGCCGCCGGUGCCUUCGGACGGGCCCUGCCCGACCACUUCCACGUUUCAGCUGGAAGUGUGAAGACGGUUCUGCUGUCCUCUCCUCCCCGAAAUCUCAGGGAACAACAGGAAGUGGGACUGGAAACCAAAAUCUCAAUUCUGUCGUCAGCGAAACUGAGAGGCAUCCGAACUUGGAGACACAAGACCUGGGGCCGUUGCAGAAGGAGGGCAGAGCAGGACAGGACCCGAGGAAGGAUGGCUGUCAGGGCCAACAACACAGUCCGGAGCUCUCCACAGCAGAGCGUGCCCCCGGGAAGGCCAACCGCCCUUCUGGUGCUGCCCAGGACCCACGGGGAUGCACGUCUGAGAGGAGAGUGCCCUUGGCCCAUCACUGGACCCCUUGGGCACUGCAGAGCGGCAGGAAGAGACGCACAGAGAGGCCAUCAUUGCAGGAAGCAGUGUGUUGGCGAGGCUGAAGUCCUGCCUCACACACUCCACACACGCACACACACUCACACUCACAAUACCAGCACAUGGGCACAUACACCACGCACACUCACACACAUUUGCUCCACAUACGCUCACACACACCACACACAUUGUCUCAGGCACACAACUCUGCGUCACACGGAGCCCAGCCUUGACGUGGAGUCCCCCACCAGCCCUGCACCUGGCACUGGCCCCCCCCACAGCACAUAGCUCAUGCAGGAAGGACCCCUGUUGCUCCGAGAGGCUACAAGUGGAAUCGGCCCACCUCCUGGGGGCUCCUCCACAUGCUUGGGGCCCCGCAGAGGGGCAUCAUCAUCUGACUCAUCUGUUGGGUUGAUGUCGGCGUCGAUGCCCCCUCAUUGGAUGCUGUGGACGUGGCCUCACCUCGCCUCACAGUCAUCACAGAGACAGAGACACAAGGCCUCAAACCCCCUCCUGCCUCCUUCCCCCACAUCCCUGCGAAUCAUGUCCAGCCGACAGCCCGUCCGCUCCAGAAGCCAGUUAUCACUGGGGGCCGGGCGGGGGUCUUGGUGCAAACCCCACUCAGUCAAGGCCCCCGCAGAGUCUCUCAGGCAGCUCCUCUUGAGGAAAAUAUUGGGAAAUCGGUGAAAAUAUUUACAUGGAUUUUAUCUCUUUGUCCUGGUUUUGCCGUUUUUAUUUUCCUUUUGGUCAAUUCAUUUUAGUGAGAUGCAAAAUAAAUUGUUUACAUCUGAAUCUCAAAGACUGCGCUCCUCAGAGACACGGCCGGCCGGUGCAGGCUGUGGCCCAGCGCUCCCCCGACCAGGAGGCCAGUGCGGGGAUGGCGAGCUCCACACCACCCUCAUGCCUGUCAGUCCCUAGACGGGCUCGGCUGCAUCUCCUGCACCAGGACCCGCUGUCAAACAUGUGCAUCUUCAC